GGGUUGAGUUCGGUCGGUGGCAGCUAUUCCUUCUCUUUUUGUCCACCAUAAAGUCCUCUGUUGUCGGAAUCUCGGUGAUGCACGACGUGAAUUUUUUCAAAUGGCGUCGUUUCUGGUCGCUCGCUGUUUCCGUAGGCUUCAGAAACCCUUCCGCUUUUCCUCUUCCUCUUCAUCCUCGCUCUAUCUUUGUCCCUCCUUAAAUUCCUUGUCCUCUUCGCCUAUCCCAACACCAAACCUUGAUCCUAACCUGAAACGUAAUUAUUGUAAUCCGUUUAGGCAGUACUACCGGGUCAAUCCCAUUUUUGAAUUCUCCCGUGAGAACUUCAAACUCAAUUGGGAUUUUAUAUCAGUUGCGCAUAUUUCGACGAGUGUGAGGGAGAGCGAGGAGGAUAAGGGAGGGUCGAGACCGUUGAAGGCGGAGGUGUCUUGGAUUGACUUGUACUUGCCAAAACAAGCUCGCCCUUAUGCUCGUCUUGCUCGCCUCGAUAAGCCCAUUGGGACCUGGUUACUCGCUUGGCCUUGCAUGUGGUCAAUUACCUUGGCCACAUCCCCAGGACAGCUUCCUGAUUUUAAGAUGUUGACGCUGUUUGGUUGUGGAGCUUUGCUUCUAAGGGGUGCUGGAUGUACCAUAAACGAUCUUCUUGAUCGAGAUAUUGAUAUAAUGGUGGAACGUACAAAGUUGCGACCAAUUGCAAGUGGUCUUUUGUCACCAUUUCAAGGACUUUGUUUUCUUGGGUUUCAAUUGCUUUUGGGCCUUGGAAUUCUUCUUCAGUUGGAUAAUUAUAGCCGUAUUUUGGGGGCUUCAUCCCUGUUGCUAGUCUUCUCCUAUCCCCUUAUGAAGAGGUUUACAUUUUGGCCUCAAGCCUAUCUAGGUCUCACCUUUAACUGGGGUGCUUUAUUAGGGUGGGCUGCAAUUAAAGGAAGUCUAGAACCAGCUAUAGUGUUCCCAUUAUACAUUUCUGGAGUAUUUUGGACUCUUGUGUAUGACACAAUAUAUGCACAUCAGGAUAAAGAAGAUGACUUGAAAGUGGGUGUUAAAUCUACGGCUUUGAGAUUUGGGGAUUCAACAAAGGGGUGGAUUACCGGCUUUGGAAUUGCAUGCAUCAGUAGCCUCACCCUCAGUGGAUUUAAUGCUGGGAUUGGGUGGCCAUAUUAUGCAUUUUUGGCAGCUGCGUCUGGACAAUUGGCUUGGCAGAUAUGGACGGUGGACCUCUCAUCCCGUGCUGAUUGCAACAGGAAAUUUGUGUCCAACAAGUGGUUCGGUGCUAUUCUUUUCAGUGGGAUCUUAUUUGGAAGAGUUUUGUCAUAAUGGGAAUGAAGGCUUCAAGAUCAAAUGAAUGGCCGAAGAUAAGCACGCAUGUGUACAAUGAGGUGCUCAAGGUGUUGAAUGGUUUCCUCAUGCAGUGGGAUUGCAGUACAUUUGAUGUUGCUGAUGUUACGUUGUCCGGAGAAGGUUCUUUGCGAAAAUUAGGAAUAAAGGGUGGAAUAUUAAAGGCCCCUAUUUUUGUUUCUGGUAACUGAGGGAGAUAAUUUGCUUCUGUGAGAAACAUAGGCAGGUGCUAAAGUGAAUUAUUUUUUUGGAGUCCAGCUUUGGAAGCCCUUUGUCGUUGUAGGUGGUUAGAGAGAGCAUUCAUUUCACAGGCGAGAGGUAGGAUCAGUCUGAUCCUUUAUUUUUAAGGUAUCGAUAGUAGUACAGCUACUAGUAAUUUUUUACAGAAAACGUAGCUAAAAAGGAAAAAAAGUUCUGAACAUCAUUAUUAUUUCUAAUGUAUAGUUAUUGAUGUGUACUACCAAUGUGUACCAACGACUCAAGUUGCUUGUAGGAGGUUUAAUUUAACAAUCCUCCACUUAUUUAUUCUUUAGAGAUCAGUAAAGUAAAGUAUUAUUCCAGCA
Juglans regia (Persian walnut) is the source of this 1893-nucleotide RNA transcript. It is a transcript of the gene named 4-hydroxybenzoate polyprenyltransferase, mitochondrial, with no coding region annotated. The transcript is spliced from 11 exons. NCBI's taxonomy places the organism in Eukaryota, Viridiplantae, Streptophyta, Magnoliopsida, Fagales, Juglandaceae. The record is from RefSeq and is a predicted model, not a curated record.